UGCUUGCACAUUUAGGACGUCGACCGGCGCACGGGUGAGUAUCGCGUAUCCAACCUUCCCUCCACUCGGGGAUACCCCGUUGAAAGACGGCCUAAUACCCGAUGUUGUCCACAUAUGGCAUCUGACGUGGACCAAAGAUUCAUCGGUGGAGGAUGGGGAUGCGUCUGAUUAGCUUGUUGGUGCGGGUAACGGCCCACCAAGGCGACGAUCAGUAGGGGUUCUGAGAGGAAGGUCCCCCACAUUGGAACUGAGACAUGGUCCAAACUCCUACGGGAGGCAGCAGUGAGGAAUAUUGGUCAAUGGACGUAAGUCUGAACCAGCCAAGUAGCGUGCAGGAUUGACGGCCCUAUGGGUUGUAAACUGCUUUUGUUGGGGAGUAAAGUGAGGCACGUGUGCCUUUUUGCAUUUACCCUUCGAAUAAGGACCGGCUAAUUCCGUGCCAGCAGCCGCGGUAAUACGGAAGGUCCAGGCGUUAUCCGGGUUUAUUGGGUUUAAAGGGAGUGUAGGCGGUCUGUUAAGCGUGUUGUGAAAUUUAGGUGCUCAACAUCUACCUUGCAGCGCGAACUGGCGGACUUGAGUGCACGCAACGUAUGCGGAAUUCAUGGUGUAGCGGUGAAAUGCUUAGAUAUCAUGACGAACUCCGAUUGCGAAGGCAGCGUACGGGAGUGUUACUGAC
RNAcentral lists this ribosomal RNA (676 nucleotides) under uncultured Bacteroidales bacterium. Its description in RNAcentral is "bacterial SSU rRNA". It matches the Rfam family "Bacterial small subunit ribosomal RNA", at positions 77 to 744 of the family's 1533-position model. Lineage: Bacteria; Pseudomonadati; Bacteroidota; Bacteroidia; Bacteroidales. The record is from RNAcentral.